This is a non-coding RNA of Coturnix japonica (Japanese quail), 5097 nucleotides long. Lineage: Eukaryota; Metazoa; Chordata; Aves; Galliformes; Phasianidae. The record is from RefSeq and is a predicted model, not a curated record.
ACGGGCUCUUAUGGAGCCUGUCUGGUCAGUAAAGCAGAGAUUUUCUCAAAAUCAGUCUCCAGCCAAAUGCUGCCUGGAGUCAGGCUUAGGAGAAGUGAUAAAAGCUUGAUGCACACCUACAGCUGUGCCACAGAGGGCUAGUAGUGUCAAUGUGUACACAAAGCCCUCUGUAUUUCCCAGGUAAUACCAAAUAUUUAUGUGUGCCCAUGAGGGAUGAUGCUCUUCAGCGUGGCAGAUGGGAUGCCUGUUGGCUGUGCUGAUGCACAUGUGUAGUGAACCCCAUCAUUGCCCAGUGGUGGGUGCUGCCGAUGGUGCCUGCCCAGCCCUUGUGCAGCUCAGCCUGAACCCCCUUCUGUUUCUCUUGUGCCCCAGUAUUUAUUGCCCUUACACUCUCUCAAAAGGGAAAAGGUUAUUUUUUAUUAUUUGUUAUUCAUUUGGCACAGCUCUUUUGGUAAUUAGUACUACAAUUCAUAAUAUGUUUAAGAGACAGAACACACUACGUGCUUCUGAAUCUCAGCCCACUCCAUGUCAAAUGAAGACAACAGUACUCCCUUCCUCAAUCUGUUUGUGAAUGUAAUUGCUCCUGGUGCGUAGUAAGUACAGACCAAGUGUAUCUGCCCUUUACAGACUGCUAAAUGUGAUGUGUCUGGAAGCCAAACAGCAGCCCAAGUUCUGUUCUGCAAUCCCUGUAAAGCUCUGCAGUCUUCUUAACAGUCUGUGUGUGCUUGUAUCUCAUGUUUCUUCUGCCCCUGUGUCAAUAGGUCAGUUCAUUUGGAAAUGGGCUGCUGUGGCCUUGCCAAAAAGGUAUUCAUCCAUAUCUGACAAAAGCAAUGAUAUCAAGAGGCAGUUUUCCCUGGUGUUUUGUUGUACUUGUACCCAGCUAGUAAUAAACAGCAUCCUUGGGCACAGAUAGUUCAGCAAAAUAAAUGGGCUGACUAACUGUAUACGCAUUUUCUUCAAUUAGAUGACAAGUGAAAGUAGGCGAUAUAGCUGUCUAUAAAUUCUGGUUACAGACUUGGAGAAUGUAGUCACUGACUUUCUUAGUCUGUGUAUGCAAGGACAUCCUUUUUACUACUUUUCUUCCUGUCGUGCAAUUAUUAGCUAUAGCGAAGCACCAUAUGUGAGCUGCCACGUGUAAGGACUGCCACUGUAACCAUCUGAGAUCACCUUCUAAACAUUUCAGUCUGAGCCCAAAAUACCACCACAAUAACAGAAUUCUUGCCCCAAGUGGUUGCCAGCAGUCUCCAUCACUGCAGACCCACAGUACACUGUUCUUUUUAGUAUACCUACUUUAAACUUAGCCUCACAUUCGUUGUUGAGAUAUCAUGUGUUCAUAUUAGUCUAGACAGCCUGCAGUGACUUCUUAGUGACUUGAAGAGAAAAGGAAUCUGUCCUUUGACCAAAAGAGAAGUUAUAUAAAUACGUAUUGGUUGGCUUCCAGUACUUUGUGCUACCAAACCACGAAGACAGCAGAUGUAGAAUCUCGAUUACAAAUAAAAAUAAACAUAGAACAUGUGAGAUCCUGCAUUGUUUGGAUGGUUCCAGUUUUUGAUAGAUGUAUUUAAGAAAGCUAACAGUUAUAUUUGAGUUCUUAGCAAAGACCUGAGGCAAAAUUUAAAUGUCAUCAAUGUAGGCUAACUGAACUUCAGGCUUCACCCUAAAAGAGGCUUUCAAAAACCCAUCUCAUCUGGUUAACUGCUAAGCUGAGCUGGAGACUUAAGGCUGUGUCAGUAGUAUUUAAAUCAGCUUUGCAAAACCUUAAAGAAAAGUUACCGGCUCAGCUCCAAAACCUAUUCACAAGUGCCCUUUACCACGCUGAACGGGAGGGAAUUUAAGAAAUGAACGAUUUGUUCACAGAGCUGGAUAGCCUUUGGCAUCAUUCCCCUUUCCCUCGUCUUUCCAUGUAUGCUGCCCAUGUAGUUAAUCUCUUCCUGUGCUUGAAUUGCUCUGCAUUCCCCUGGCAUUUCCCUUCCUGGGCAUUAUUAAUUUCUGAGCCCAGGGAAAUCAGGACUGCAUCAAUGAAAGUGUGUGUAAUACAAAGGAGAAACAAACCCCGUGUGUUUACAUUUGCUUCACAAAACUUUCUAUUUAAAGUCUUUGUGCAUGUCCUCUGGGUAUUUUCUUUAGCUUGUCUCUUGUAUCACAUUGUACCUUUGGCAGUAGGUAUCCGGUGUCUUUGUUUUCUGAAUAGAAAAUAGGUCAUUAUUGGUAUUUUGGCUUCUGAUUGCUAGUUAAUGAAAUUUGUUCCAGCUUUAACAUCAUUGCAACAAGCUACAAAGAAUCAUUUGUCAUGAUUGCAUGGGCUAGGCUCAUUUCUGCUGUAGCUCACAGGCAGCGUGAUUAUCUAGGAGACUCGAAGAAUGCAGUAAAGAAUAAUGCAAAAAUGGGUAAAAGCCAAGGCUCAUCAGUCUUAGGUGCUGUGGUAUUACAUCUGCAUUGUACUCAAAGCAUUGCAGUUUGAACAUAUUAGCAUAUGAAGCUGCCUGAUUGCUUUCUGGGGUCUUGUGCUUUUGGAAAAGUAACUACAGAGUUCAAGGUACUUGGGUCAAACGAAGAAAUAGUUUUAUACCAGCUGGCACAGGCUGUGCUGUUAAGCAAGGUUGUAUUUGCAGAAUCUGGAGUAUAUUUCUCUUCCAUCAGCUGUCCUUCCCUGUGCUUUAAAGAGAAGGGUACUGUUCAUGUCACCUGUAAUCAGCUAUGCAAUAAAAGUCUCCAAGGAUGCAGCUCAAGAACUCAAAGUAAUCCUGCAACCUAUUCCCAGUAAUGUUAAAGUGACAAUAACAGAUGAAGUCAGACAUGUGCAACCCAUGCGGCCUGGCUCAGCCCAUCCUGUGGCCACCCCCUGCCCCACACCAUCAUGGCAUCCCAGGGCAGUGUGAGGGAAGUGCCCUUGGUUAGCUUUGAGAAGGCUCAGGGCAGUGUGAGGGAAGUGCCCUUGGUUAGCUUUGAGAAGGCUCAGGGAGGAUCUGAGCAUUGACUACAGCUGCCUACUGGGAGCAUGGAGGAUGAAACCCGACUUUUUCUGAUAGGUGCUCAGUGGUGGAAGGACAAGAGGUAUUAGGCUCACACUGAAGAAUGGACAACUCAAGCCAAAGGAAAAGCCUGCCACCAUGAGGGUGCUCAAACUCAUAAUACUUGACUGAAAUAUUUUAACAAACUAUUUUUACCUUUAGAAGUGAUAAUUCAUCUAACCUCCAUUGUGCUGUAUUAAAUACAUGCAAGUUUCGUCCUUAAGAGGUGACUCAGGUUUCCUGCCCCGCUGGUCUGAGAUAAACCUGUAACUGCUAAAUUGCAAAUCUUAUUUACUAAACCGAUGGUUUUACUUUCCUCUUGUCUGAAUUCUGCCCCAGUCGUGAUCGCAUCCAGCCUUGUUUCAAAUUGAAAGCCUCCAUUUAGUGAGCUUUCUCCUUGGCUACCCUUUCCCCCUGAGACACCUCAGUGUCCUCAGGCACUUUCUUGGUACUUCAGAUGUAACAUUCAGCCUCCUUCCUUUUUUUUCUCUUCCUGGUAAUAUUUUGUACCAGAAUUAUAUACAACACAUUUAGAUUUCUCAUGUCAUGUUUAACAAAUACGUUUGCUCAAAUUUUCUGGGGUAGAACUUACAGCAUGAGAAGAGCUUACAGAUUAUUUUUGCCUGAAAAAUAUUUGGAUCAAUUCUAGGAGAAGGUGAAGCUUGCGAUCCCUUUUUGCUGAUAGCUUUAGGAGGGCACAGGGUUGGUUUUCAGAGAACUACAGCUCCCAUGAUCUCCAAGAAGAACUGGAUCUGAGCAUUGACAGCGUUGCACUGUAAGAAAUCAGGAAGGUACACAAAGGUUUCCCUCUCUUCAGCAAGACAGGUAGAAUUUAUAAGUAAAUGGAGAGUGGUAAAUGCUAAUGGAAAGUCCGGGUGGAAAUCUGUGAUGACAGUGGGAGAAGACCAAAAUGCAGAGAGAGGUGGCUAAGGGGCUCUAAGGAAACGGUGGAUUUGUUAUGGAGAAAGGAUAUUAGCUAUGAGUUUUUAAAUGUUCAAGUAAGGAUGGCUAAGGAGAUAGAAGGAAGUAAGUUUUAAGGACAAAAUUUAGCUUCUAGUGAUGUGCAAAUGAAUGCUAUGGGAAAAGGAAGACUGAAAGAAUAAGAUGCUUGUUUCCUUGUGCAGUGAGUGGCAGUGGAUCCUUCAAAGCACACUGAGAUGAAAACUUCUGUUCACCCUGUAAAGGGUGAGGGAGGUGACAGGUGUUGGUUGGUUGUUAUGGCACUUUUAUUUGUUACAAGGACUUACCUGAAGAAUUUGUGACCCACCUGUCUGCGGUAGGGUGAGUUGGUAGGAUAAGAAACUCAGAUAUAGACUAGCUGAUAGCAAGUAGAGGCACUGUAACUUAGCCUUGUGUUUUCUCCACCUACAACUGUAAUCUCGUUUUUGAUCUCUCCCUUUUGAAACCGUAGGUGUUGCUGAUGAUCUAACUAGCACCUGACUCUCCAACCAUCUGUCUGGGGAGGACUGGGUAGGGAUGAGUGAGCUGUGCUCUGUGAUGGGGGUGUGGCUGUUUCACUGAUGGGUCCUGAUGGAGGGUUACUUAUAGUUCCCUUAAUUUUCCUUUCCUUUCACUCCUGAAAUACUCCCUGUAUCCAAUCAGUGGUAAAUGAACUUGAAAGGCACAGUCUGUCAAGAUGAUGUGCAGAGCAGAGAAGGGUAAACCCUGUAUCACCAAGAAGUCAAGAGAAGUCAAGAUGUACUUCCUGGAGCAGUUCUGCCUGGCUUUCUGUAUCUCUACAAUGCAAACAACGGUGCCACCAUGAUGCUGAUGGGACCUGUGCAAUGACCUUUAGGCCUUUCCACUCCGAUAAAAAAUCUUCCCAACUCCCAUUGUUCCAGCUGGCUCAGAGACAGAGGGGGCUGUCUUCAGAGACUUUUGGGAUGUGUUCAAAAACGCAUGUGCUUCAUAUGCAAGGAUGAUUCUGCCCCUUACCUAGGAGUGUUGGUGCAUGGUGGUGUUACAGCGUGACCUCUUCUUUCCUCCUGGAGUGGAGCACAGUGCUUACUUGUUUCCGAAUAAAAACUUUUUCUCUGAAAAUCUGCCUCCAGUAGUUUGAAGCACAGGAGUCUGCCAUUUCUCAGUG